This 25-nucleotide non-coding RNA is filed under the name Mus musculus (house mouse). Lineage: Eukaryota; Metazoa; Chordata; Mammalia; Rodentia; Muridae. The record is from RNAcentral.
UAGCAGAGAAUACAAAUGCCUGAGG